Molecule: long non-coding RNA, 7267 nt
Organism: Orcinus orca (killer whale)
Lineage: Eukaryota; Metazoa; Chordata; Mammalia; Artiodactyla; Delphinidae
Exons: 2
Source: RefSeq, a predicted model, not a curated record
CUUGUCUGCUGUGUCUUAGAGAAACUGGUUGACUCUUGGGUAUAGCAGGUAAUUGACUUCACAUUUUAAAUUGGUCCUUCUCCAUAUUUCCUACGUAGGUAUCUAAACACCAGGUCUCUGGGCAGGUCCUCUGACGGCAGCUGCACCUGCUGUGUCAGUGUCACCCUUGACCCCUCUGCUCCCUGACCCCGGCCCUGAUGCUGUGAUUCUUCCCACCUGCUUGCCAUGAAGGUGCCAUUCGUAAUGAUGGAGGCCAUUUCAUUCUUUAUUUUUAUUAAAUGACAAUAAAUACUUUUUUUCUUGGCUAAAACUACUCUGUACUUUGACUUCUAGUGAAGAGACUAUUUUAUAAAGUUCCUUUCCUUUUUUAUAGGAAACUAUAAAAGUUUAUAGUUUAAAGUUAUAAACUUUUUUAUAGGAAACUUUAUAAAGUUCCUUUCCUUUUUUACUUUUUAAAGUGCCUAACAUUUAGUACAGAUUGAAGAAACACCUAGUGAUGAUCAGAAAAGGAGAACAGGCAUUUGGACCGUAGAUGGGUCCUCGUUUAACAAACAAAAAAGCAAUACAGAGGGACUUAAUAAACAGUCCAAGAAGUGAUCAUUCCAGCAUAGUUGAGGUUGGUCAGACCCUUCUUGGAAUGGUGUUUCCAGAUUUUAUCUUUAUCUUUUAUAAAGGACAAGCUAAAGACAAAAAUAGGAAUGCCAAAAAUUAUUUAAAAGUGUCAAGGAGAAAAGUCUGUCUUGGAGUUUCUUCCUCUGAGAAAGAGAACGGUACAGGGUGAUGUACAGCUUCUAAUGAUGCUGAUGAUGACAGUUACAGUGAGGCUGACAGCAGUUGCUGAUUGUGGACUGUCUGCUCUGCCAGGUAGUGUGCUGGGUGCUUUAUAUUACAGUCUAUAUGUUAAUGCCUCCAUUUUACCAAGGAGGAAAUAGAAGCUUAAUAUAAGAUCCCUCUGGGUCCCAAACCUACAUUUCCCCUCAGGCCGGUGCCUCAAGCAUAUAGUUAUUACAAUAACAAGUGUUUGACACUCACAGGCAUCUUACAAUAUGGAGAUUGGGAGAAGGAUAUCCCAGAUUAUAUUUCUCCCCGCAAGUUUCCUGGGUUUUUAAGCAAAAUUGGACAUAUUAUGAAGUAAACUAACUUCAGGUGGAUUUGCUGUUGUGUCUCUCAGUCUUGUUCUCACAGUCAGUGGGGGGAGGUUGAAUCUAAUAAUACUUUGACAUCUACCUUCCUUAGGAAUUUGACAUCACAGGGACAUCCGAUUGUCACAAUUACAGCCCCAAAGGAGCUGAAACCGGCAUUUAAAACUAGUUUUCAGGGAUUGGCUAAUUCUUUCUUGCCAAACAAAACCCGAAGCUGUUUUCAACUUCUGCAGUUCCAGGUGGUGGUAGACCAGCCUCAGUCUUCAUCUCCAAUCCCUUAUCACUUUUUACUUCCUUAAAGGAAUCUUUUACAGUUUUAAGGAUCUGUUCAUUGAUGGCUCUAGAGAAACGCAUUCCCUUGUUAGAACCUGUGGUAAGGAGAGCGCCUUUAUGCAAGACAGAAGCCUUUAGUUGCCUGGCUGCAGGAGCCCUCUGCCUUCCCCAUUCCUUCAGCUGCCACCUAUUUCUAAUCCUGAUACCAGGCUCUAGUCCGUGCCUGGUAUCGCACAUUGAAAUUCAGACUCCCUUUUCCCUUAAAAUUAACAUUAUAACUUGGACUUGGGGAGGGCAGUCAUUGAAAUCCUGUUAGAGGCAGUCUUUUCUAUAAUUGGAAACUUUGCUAUGUUCCUAAAUAUUUAUUCUAUUCAAAAAUAUGGGCUUCCCUGGUGGCACAGUGGUUGAGAGUCCACCUGCCGAUGCAGGGGACACGGGUUCAUGCCCCGGUCCGGGAAGAUCCCACAUGCUGCGGAGCGGCUGGGCCUGUGAGCCAUGGCCACUGAGCCUGCGCGUCUGGAGCCUGUGCUCCGCAGCAGGAGAGGCCACGACGGUGAGAGGCCCACGUACCGCAAAAAAAAAAAAAAAAAGUGUGUUCUAAGCUUCAGACAAGCUUUGUGAGCACAUCUGAAUUGGAGAUUGGGUGGUCUGGAGCAGCAGUCUUCCGUUUAGUAAAUAAUGACUGAACUUUUUCUACAUGCUAGACACUGUGCUGGUGGUAGUGGGGAACAGGGUAGGCCCAAUCGCUCCCUCUCCCCUUGGAGCUUAGACUCUACAAGAAGGCAAAUUAAACAAAUUAUCAUUGGCUCUUUUUCUAAGAGAGUUGUCUAAGACAACUCCAAUAAUUUUUUAAAAUUUUAUCAACACAGGCCCAAUCUUCUUUCAUUCCACCCUCCCCCCGCUGCCAACACACACAUAUCUUGCAUUGUUAUCAGACAUUAUAUCCAUAUAUAUGGACUUUUUUAAACAUAACCACAAUGCCGUUUUCAGUCGCUUCAAGGUAACAGUAUGCAGUGUUCACAUUUCCCCAGUCACCUCGUAAAGUUUUUUUUUACAGUUGAUUUGUACAAAUUAGGAUCCAGACAAGGUCCCCAUAUUGCCUUUGUUGCAGCUCUUAAUCUGCAGUCCCUCCAUACCGUUUUUCAACGUCAAGGUUUGUUUGUCAAAGAAGCCACAUUGUUCAUCUUAUGGAGCUUCUCGAGUCUGGAUUUUGUAGCUUGCAUUUCCAGGGUGUCAUUAAUGUAUCUCUCUGUCCCCCUGUAUUUUCUAUAAACGGAAGUUAGAUGUAGAGGCUGGAUGGGGUCCAGAUUCCAGUCCAGUUUCCGUGGCAGGGCUGCUCAUAUAUGGUGCUGUGUAUCACACUAAGAGCCACACGGUGUCUAGGUGUCUCUCUUUUAUAACGUUAAGCUUGAUCGUAGGGUCAGGAGGUCAGCAUCAAUUGUAAGAUGCGCCAUCAAUUACAAGUAUGACUUUGGGAAGGGGAAGAGGGAAACCUUAUGUUAUAUGUGCACCAAACAUUGUAAUAUGUUGAAACAUCCACCCAAUUCUCAGAAUGCUAAAUGUGAAAAAGAUGUGUCCUAGAAUCAAGAAAGCACAAUGUGGGGGAGGGGAGGGGUUCCCACGCUCGGAAGGGCCCACUCACGGCGAGGGAAUCAGCGCGGACAGGGAGAGACCUUCGGGGGGUUGGGGGAUCGGAGGGGAACGCAGCCAGCGGCUCCCCUGCCUGCUUGGCCCCGGGCCUGAAACUCUGCCCUCCAGGGUCGCCUCUGGCCGCAGAGGUCCUGAGCCUAAGCCCUGCCCCCCAGAGCCUCUUCUGGCCUUUUUUUUUUUUUUCUGUUGUGGUCCUGUUUUGUUCUUGUUUCAUUCUUAUUUUUAUUUUUUCUAAUAUAUGUUUUAUUUUUGUAACUUUAUUUUAUUUUUUAUUCUUUGUUAUUGUUCUGCUCCUUUUUGUUUGUUGCCCAUUUCUUGUUUUUGUUGUGGCACUGUGUGGCUUGCGGGGGGUCGGGCCUGAGCUCCUGUGAGAGAAGCACUGAGUCCAAACCCCUGGACUAACAGAGAACUUCAGGCCCAGAGAAUAUUACUCGGUGUGAGCUCUCCUGGAGGUCCUCAUCAUGGCACCAAAACCCGGCUCCACCCAACUGCCUGCAAACUCCAGAGCUGGAUGCCUCAGGCCAAACAACCAGCAAGACAGGAUGCAGCCCCACCCAUCAAAAAACAUGAGACAACAAAAAUAUAUGUUACAGAAGAAGGAGCAAGGUAAAAACCUACAAGACCAAAUAAAUGAAGAGGAAAUAGGCGACCUACCUGAAAAAGAAUUCAGAGUAAUGAUAGUAAAGAUGAUCCCAAAUCUCGGAAAGAGAAUGGAGGCACAGAUCGAGAAAAUACAAGAAAUGUUUAACAAGGACCUAGAAGAACUAAAGAACAAACAAAAAGUGAUGAACAACACAAUAACUGAAAUGAAAAAUACACUUGAAGGAAUCAAUAGCAGAAUAACUAAGGCAGAAAAUAUAGCAAAUCUGGAGCAAAUAAGUGAGCCUGAAGAUGGAAUGGUGGAAAUAACUGUGGAGGAGCAGAAGAAAGAAAAAAGAAUGAAAAGAAAUGAGGACAAUCUCAGAGACAUCUGGAACAAUGUUAAACGCACCAACAUUUGAAUUACAGGGACCCCAGAAGAAGAAAAGAAAGAGAAAGGGUUUGAGAAAAUAUUUGAAGAGAUUAUAGUCGAAAACUUCUCUGACAUGGGGAAGGAAAUAGCCACCCAAGUCCAGGAAGCACUGAGAGUCCCAUAUAGGAUAAACCCAAGGAGAAACAUAGCUGAGACACAUAUUAAUCAAACUAACAAAAUUUAAAUUCAAAGAAAAAAUAUUAAAAACAGCAAGGGAAAUCAACACAUAACAUACAAGGAAAUCCCCAGAAGGUUAUCAGCUGACUUUUCAGUAGAAAUUCUGCAGGCCAGAGGGAGUGGCAGGAUAUACUUAAAGUGAUGAAAGGGAAAAACCUAUAACCAAGAUUACUCUACCCAGCAAGGAUCUCAUUCAGAUUCAACAGAGAAAUCAAAAGCUUUACAGACAAGCAAAAGCUAAGAGAAUUCAGCACCACCAAACCAGCUCUACAGCAAAUGCUAAAGGAACUUCUCUAAGUGGGAAACACAAGAGAAGAAAAGGACCUACAAAAACAAACCCAAAACAAUUAAGAAAAUGGUCAUAGGAACGUACAUAUCGAUAAUUACCUUAAACGUGAAUGGAUUAAAUGCUGCAACCAAAAGACACAGCCUUGCUGAAUGGAUACAAAAACAAGACCCAUAUAUAUGCUGUCUACAAGAGACCCACUUCAGACCUAGGGACACAGAGCCUGAAAGUGAGGGGAUGGAAAAAGAUAUUCCAUGCAAAUGGAAAUCAAAAGAAAGCUGGAAUAGUAAUACUCAUAUCACAUAAAAUAGACUUUAAAAUAAAGAAUGUUACAAGAGACAAGGAAGGACACUACAUAAUGAUCAAAGGAUCAAUCCAAGAAGAAGAUAUAACAAUUAUAAAUAUAUAUGCACCCAACAUAGGAACACCUCAAUACAUAAGGCAACUGCUAACAGCCAGAAAAGAGGAAAUCGACACUAACACAAUAAUAGUGGGGGACUUUAACACCUCACUUACACCAAUGGACAGAUUAUCCAGACAGAAAAUAAAUAAGGGAAUACAAGCUUUAAAUUAUGCAAUAGACCAGAUAGACUUAGUUGAUAUUUAUAGGGCAUUCCACCGGAAAGCAGCAGAAUACACUUUCUUCUCAAGUGCACAUGGAACAUUCUCCAGGAUAUAUCACAUCUUGGAUUACAAAUCAAGCCUUGGUAAGUUUAAGAAAAUCGAAAUUGUAUCAAGCAUCUUUUCCGACCAUGAUGCUGUGAGACUAGAUAUCAGUUACAGCAAAAAAACUGUAAAAAACACAAACACAUGGAGGCUAAACAAUAUGCUACUAAAUAACCAAGAGAUCACUGAAGAAAUCAAAGAGGAAAUUUAAAAAAACACCUAGAAACAAAUGACAGUGAAAACAUGAUGACCCAAAACCUAUGGGACGCAGCAAAAGCACUUCUAAGAGGGAAGUUUAUAGCAAUUUAGUCUCACCUCAAGAAACAAGAAAAACCUCAAACAAUCUAACUUUACACCUGAAGCAACUAGAGAAAAAGAUUAAAAAAAAAAAACCAAAGUUAGUAGAAGGAAAGAAAUCAUAAAUAUCAGAGCAGAAAUAAAUGAAAUAGAAAACAAUAGCAAAGAUCAAUAAAACUAAAAGUUGGUUCUUUGAGAAGAUAAACAAAAUUGAUAAAACUUUAGCCAGACUCAUCAAUAAAAGAAGGGACAGGACUCCAAUCAGUAAAAUUAGAAAUGAAAAAGAAGAAAUUACAACUGACACCACAGAAAUACAAAAGAUCGUAAGAGACUACUACAAGCAACUAUAUGCCAAUCAAAUGGACAACCUGGAAGAAAUGGACAAAUUCUUAGAAAGGUACAACCUUCCAAAACUGAACCAGGAAGAAAUAGAAAAUAUAAACAGACGAAUCCCAAGUAAUGAAAUUGAAACUAUGUUUAAAAAUCUUCCAACAAACAAACAUCCAGGGCCAGAUGGCUUCACAGGCAAAUUCUAUCAAACAUUUAGAGAAGAGCUAACACCUUCUCAAACUCUUCCAAAAAGUUGCAGAGAGAGAAACACUCCCAAACUCAUUCUACGAGGCCACCAUCACCCUGAUACCAAAACCAGACAAAGAUAUCACAAAAAAAGAAAACGACAGGCCAAUAUCACUGAUGAACAUCGAUGCAAAAAUCCUCAACAAAAUACUAGCAAACAGAAUCCAACAACACAUUAAAAGGAUCAUACACCAUGAUCAAGUGGGGUUUAUCCCAAGGAUGCAAGUGAUGCAGCCACUGUGGAGAACAGUAUGGAGGUUCCUUAAAAAACUAAAAAUAGAACUACCAUAUGACCCAGCAAUCCCACUACUGGGCAUAUACCCUGAGAAAACCACAAUUCAAAAGGACACAUGUACUCCAGUGUUCAUUGCAGCACUAUCUACAAUAGCCAGGACAUGGAAGCAACCUAAAUGUCCAAUGGCAGGGGAAUGGAUAAAGAAGAUGUGGUACCUAUAUAUGGAAUAUUACUUAGCCAUAGAAAGGAAUGAAAUUGGGUCAUUUUUAGAGAUGUGAUUUUUAGAGUCUGUCAUAUAGAGUGAAGAAAGUCAGAAGGAAAAAAAUAAAUAUCAUAUAUUAACGCAUAUAUGUGGAAUCUAGAAAAAUGGUACAGAUGACCCUAUUUGCAGGGCAGGAAUAGAGAUGCAGAUGUAGAAAAUAGAUGUGUGGACACAGGGGGCCUGAGGCAGUAGGUGGUGGGACGAAUUGGGAGAUUAGGAUUGACACAUACACACUACCAUUUGGAAAAUUGAUAGCUAGUGGGAACCUGCUGUGUAGCACAGGGAGCUCAGCUCGGUGCUCUGUGACCACCUGGAUGGGUGGGAUCGGGUUGGGAGAGUGAGGUCAAGAAGGAGGGGAGGGCUUCCCUGGUGGCGCAGUGGUUGAGAGUCCGCCUGCUGAUGCAGGGGACACGGGUUUGUGCCCUGGUCCGGGAAGAUCCCACAUGCCACGGAGCGGCUGGGCCUGUGAGCCAUGGCCGCUGGGCCUGCGCGUCCGGAGCCUGUGCUCCGCAACGGGAGAGGCCACAACAGUGAGAGGCCCGCAUACCGCAAAAAAAAAAAAAAAAAGAAAGAGGGGAUAUAUGUAUACAUAUGGCUGAUUUACUUCACUGUGCAGCAGAAACUAACAACAUUGUAAAGCAACUACUCUCCAGUAAAAAAAAUAAAACAGCUAAAAAAAAUAAGAAUGAAA